UGCAUGGCUGUCGUCAGCUCGUGCCGUAAGGUGUUGGGUUAAGUCUCGCAACGAGCGCAACCCUCGUGUUUAGUUGCCACUAUGAGUUUGGAACCCUGAACAGACCGCCGGUGUUAACCCGCGUUGCUGCGUUUAUCCGAGUGAUCCACA
This 150-nucleotide non-coding RNA is filed under the name Triticum aestivum (bread wheat). Its description in RNAcentral is "Bacterial small subunit ribosomal RNA". It matches the Rfam family "Bacterial small subunit ribosomal RNA", at positions 1042 to 1197 of the family's 1533-position model. Lineage: Eukaryota; Viridiplantae; Streptophyta; Magnoliopsida; Poales; Poaceae. The record is from Rfam by way of RNAcentral.